UGUUGGAUUUUCUACACUGCGGGCGGUGUACAAAACAUUUCUCAUCAUGACUAUGGUGAGUAUUUUAUUUAGAGGACCUCUCUUUGGGCUCGGGCCGUAGGGUCUUCAGCCCACCAAGAGAGGUGUGCAGCUCGAAGAGUGGUCCCAUCCUUUCAGCAAAAAACUUCGGAUAUUGUAUACAUAGGCAAAUGAAUUGCCUUGCAUCAUUCUGCUCAGACUUCUCUCCC
RNAcentral lists this long non-coding RNA (227 nucleotides) under Elaeis guineensis (African oil palm). Its description in RNAcentral is "long non-coding RNA (EGUI_LNC001738)". The record is from RNAcentral. Lineage: Eukaryota; Viridiplantae; Streptophyta; Magnoliopsida; Arecales; Arecaceae.